CCUACGGGAGGCAGCAGUGGGGAAUAUUGCACAAUGGGGGAAACUCUGAUGCAGCGACGCCGCGUGAGCGAUGAAGUAUUUCGGUAUGUAAAGCUCUAUCAGCAGGGAAGAAAAUGAGUGUACCUGACUAAUAAGCACUGGCUCACUACGUGACAGCAGCCGCGGUGCUACGUAGGGGGCAAGCGGUAUCCGGAUUCACUGGGUGGAAAGGGUGUGCAGAUGGCGUUGCUAGCCAGCAGUGAAAGGCCGGGGGUGAAACCAGGGAUUGCAUUUGGAACUGUAUAGCUGGAGUGUCGGAGGGGCAGGCGGAAUUCCUGGUGUAGCGGUGAAAUGCGUAGAUAUUAGGAGGAACACCGGUGGCGAAGGCGGCCUGCUGGACGGUGACUGACGUUGAGGCUCGAAAGCGUGGGGAGCAAACAGGAUUAGAUACCCUAGUAGUC
This 440-nucleotide ribosomal RNA is filed under the name uncultured bacterium. Its description in RNAcentral is "partial 16S ribosomal RNA". It matches the Rfam family "Bacterial small subunit ribosomal RNA", at positions 338 to 795 of the family's 1533-position model. The record is from RNAcentral.